This 348-nucleotide non-coding RNA is filed under the name uncultured phage cr30_1. The record is from RNAcentral. Lineage: Duplodnaviria; Heunggongvirae; Uroviricota; Caudoviricetes; Crassvirales; Suoliviridae.
GUUUUAAAAUUUAUAUCAUAAGAACUGUGAUAUAUCUUAUUAGGUUUAUUGGAAACUAUUAGGACGAGGGUUCGACUCCCUCCAGCUCCACGAGUUUCUGUAUAUCUUUUCUCACUAUACCAUUGCGGUUUGAGUAAAAAAGAUAUAUUUUAAGGGGCUGCUUGGAUUUGACUAGUAGUGAAAGGUAAAAUAGGUUCACUUUAAAUUUAAAUGGCAAUACAUUUGUCACUGAUUACACUGCUCUAGGAGCGGCGUAAAUCAACGUGCUAACUACGAAAAUGAGGGUGUCUAGUAGCUUAACCGGAUAAAGCCCUGGAUUUUAUCAGGAGAUUGUGGGUUCGAAUCCCA